GAGUGUGAUCAUACCAACCCUAACGCAUCGGACCCCAUCAGAACUUUGUAAUUAAGCAUGCUUGGGAUAGACUAGUACUGGGAUGGGUAACCUCUCGGGAAGUCCUAGUGUUGCAUCCUC
Molecule: ribosomal RNA, 120 nt
Filed under: Gnetum urens
Lineage: Eukaryota; Viridiplantae; Streptophyta; Gnetopsida; Gnetales; Gnetaceae
Source: RNAcentral